RNAcentral lists this long non-coding RNA (718 nucleotides) under Homo sapiens (human). Its description in RNAcentral is "HSALNT0226655". Lineage: Eukaryota; Metazoa; Chordata; Mammalia; Primates; Hominidae. The record is from RNAcentral.
CGACGCAACCCAGGCCCGGUCUCCCCGCCGCAGCCAAGCAGCGCCCUCGGCCGGCGCCCGCCAUCCCCGGCCCGGCCGCCCGGCCGCAGAACCUCUGUCCAUGACCAAUGGAUGACCUCAGGACAAGAAUGCAAUAACUUGGCCUGAUGUUGUGAAGUCACGGUCCAUCCAGGGAUGGGCAAGAGGAUGACCAGAACCAUCUCGAGAGGGGCUGGAAAGCUGCCUCACGUAUGUGGUCCUGUGCUGUGUCUACAUGUUCCUCACUCACCUCUACAACGCUCAUGGCACGAGGGAGGAAAUGGGGUGCAGAGGCUAAGGAACGUGCCCAAAGCCCUACAGCUGGUGUAUUAGUAAUCUACUGCUGUGUAACCAAUUGCCCCAAAAUUUAAAUGUGUAAAACAACAAAGACGUCUAACUCAUGGUUCCUGUGGGUCUGGAAUCCAGGAGAGGCUGGGCUGGGUGGUCUGGCUCAGUGAACUUGCCAUCAAGAUGCUGCCAGGGCUGGCCAGGUGCAGUGAUUCACACCUGUAAUCCCAGCACUUUAGGAGGCCGAGGCGGGCAGAUCAGGAGGUCAGGAUUUUGAGACCAGCCUGGCCAAUAUAGUGAAACCCCGUCUCUACUAAAAAUACACAAAAAUUAGCUGGGCAUGGUGGCAGGCACCUGUAAUCCCAGUUACUCAGGAGACUGAGGCACAAGAAUCGCUUGAACCCAGCAGGCG